CAUAAUUUGGCCUACCUGCUCUUCAUUACUGGCAAUGAUGCACAAGCUGGAGUUAAUCCAGGCUGAGCUUGCAGAGCUGGCAGUUAGGGCCAAAAGUCCCCCAGUCACAGCCAGGUGUACUGCAGCUCAAAGCCGGAGCACCUCCAACCCCACCAGGGCUACCACACAGACGUGACUGAUGCCUGGCUGUCUGGGGCCUGGCCCCCUGUCAUUGGAAAGUCCAUGAAGACAAUGGCAAAGCUCAAACAUUUAGACAUUUACUACCUAGCAACUAACAACCAUGGAGGUCCCACCCCUCUGCAGGAAGCCAGCCACGUUUGACCAGCUGGACCACAAAGAACUGAGGAGGGACUGGCCCAGAAAUUUGAUAAAGAGGACAGAGUGGGAGCCAAGGGUGUAUACCGCUUGUCUGGGGCUUUGGGUAACCAGAAUGGUUCUAUGCUGUAACUUCAUUUUCCCUGUGCUAACCAAGGACUUUCCACACUGUUCCAAACAUCUGAUAAAUCCUACUGCUUUUACAGUGCUGGCUGAGAGUCACUGCAGACGGUGAAAGUGGGAGUACUUUGCUCCCUUUGGGAAUGCAAGUCUCUCUCAGGUGUCCAGCUCAGAUGGACUUGCUGAAGAGAGCUCACAGCAUGAAGGAAGGGUGCUAAAGGUUCCGAGGUCUGUUCCAAGGAGGCAGUGAAAACAAGUGGCUUACCUUAGCAAGAGUAUUGCAGUACACUCAUCUGUUCUCCAUAAUGUGUACAGCCCAAUCACCUCAUGAGGGGAAUGAAGGCAUGAGUGCUGCUGGAACAGAUUGUCUCUUAUAGUGCAAACCCCAGUGACAUCUGAUUCACCCACUGGCAGCCAUCCAAACCUAUCUGGACAAGCAGGCCUCACUGAACUGGGG
Mauremys reevesii (Reeves's turtle) is the source of this 892-nucleotide long non-coding RNA. RefSeq lists it as uncharacterized. The transcript is spliced from 4 exons. The record is from RefSeq and is a predicted model, not a curated record. Lineage: Eukaryota; Metazoa; Chordata; Testudines; Geoemydidae.